CCUGGUCACUCAGAUGGUAAGGAAACUGCCUGCAAUGCAGGAGACCAGGGUUCGAUCCCUGGGUCAGGA
RNAcentral lists this transfer RNA (69 nucleotides) under Ovis aries (sheep). It matches the Rfam family "tRNA". From Rfam's summary of the family: Transfer RNA (tRNA) molecules are approximately 80 nucleotides in length. Their secondary structure includes four short double-helical elements and three loops (D, anti-codon, and T loops). Lineage: Eukaryota; Metazoa; Chordata; Mammalia; Artiodactyla; Bovidae. The record is from Rfam by way of RNAcentral.